UUUAGUCCAAUCUGAAAUACAGAGAGGACAAUUGUCCUUUGAGUUUAAUAGAGCUGUCUCUCUUUGAUAUUCACAGGGCUGGAGCAGCUCUAUGCAUUUGUUCUUGUUUUUGUCUUGACUUAAGGCUGUUUGAGAGAUGCUCAUGUCAGAGAGAGAAGAGCCAUGGCUGAUGUCUGUUGGACUUGAUGGUUUUAGAGUUCUUUUCCAACCCAAAUGAUCCCAUGAUUCAACUGUAUUUAUUGCCAGCGUUAGACAAGGGGUAACAGAAUUAGGAUUUAAAAAGUAAUCAUAAGAUACCUGGGGAAGCAGCAAAGCUAUGGACAUGGGGGAACUCAUCUUCACACCCACCUAUAAAUUCCUGCUCAUGUUCUCAGGUCGUGUACCUGCUGGGAAGUGGGAAAGUGAAGGUGCCUCUAGCAAUGGUAGGACAGAGCAGUGAGGUUUGGGACUUCUCCCCUCUGCAGGGCUUAGCAGCACGAUCACAGGGAACCUGUGAGACUGGCUUGCAAAUGCCCCAGCUGUCCUCCAUCUCUCACACCUGCACACAUUUAUCCCAUAAUUCUUCACUUCGUUUGCUGCUGCUGCUGCCGGUGGUGGGAGAGAAAUUCCGACCAGCAUCUCUGGGGUCGUCCUUUAUCGUCAGAGGAAAACGGUUCGACAAAGAUAAGCAGGAAAAUAACUUCUCGUAGAUUUGGUUGUUGGAUCAGCCAGCAGCUCUCCACAGAACAUGGAACUGCCAAGGCACUGCGGUGUCUGAUGUGUGUUAUGACAUAUGGGUACGUGGCUCCUCCAGAACUAUUCAUCAUGUUACAGUGCUUAACGUGCUUUUAAGUGUGGGUGUCUGUGGGUAAGAGGAUGGCUAAGGACUGUGGGCAUCAGGCUUUGGCUACUCCAGGGUCAGGCCCCAUGCAGGACCUGCUGAGCUCUGUGGUGCGCUCUGGCCCGCUGCAAGAUCUCAGGUUGAGUGCAGAUGGAGGAAAGCAUGGUCAGGGUACAUUUGGGUACAUUUUCAAUUUCCAUGGCUCCUUUUUUCCCUAUUCAGGAACUAAAGCAUAGACUUAGGGAAGUUGUGGCUUGGCUGUGAGGCUUAACUAGAAAGAAAAAAAUAGAUAGUUAAUUUGUCUUGAAUUCUUAAAAAAGCUAUG
RNAcentral lists this long non-coding RNA (1145 nucleotides) under Phasianus colchicus (ring-necked pheasant). Its description in RNAcentral is "lncRNA (ENSPCLG00000012307.1)". The record is from RNAcentral. Lineage: Eukaryota; Metazoa; Chordata; Aves; Galliformes; Phasianidae.